Molecule: transfer RNA, 75 nt
Filed under: Caudoviricetes sp.
Lineage: Duplodnaviria; Heunggongvirae; Uroviricota; Caudoviricetes
Description: tRNA-Met
Rfam family: tRNA
About the family: Transfer RNA (tRNA) molecules are approximately 80 nucleotides in length.
Source: RNAcentral
GGCGGAUUAGAGCAGAAGCAGCUCGCCAGCCUCAUACGCUGGAGGUCGUUGGUGCAAAUCCAACAUCCGCAACCA